AACGCGAAGAACCUUACCACCCUUUACAAUUCUCGGUAGGUUCCCCAAAAAGGGAUCUUUCCCUUCAAGGGGCCGGUACACAGGUGCUGCAUGGCUGUCGUCAGCUCGUGUCGUGAGAUGUUGGGUUAAGUCCCGCAACGAGCGCCACCCUCGCCCUUAGUUGCCAUCAUUCAGUUGGGCACUCUAAGGGGACUGCCGGUGAUAAGCCGAGAGGAAGGUGGGGAUGACGUCAAGUCCUCAUGGCCCUUACGGGCUGGGCUACACACGUGCUACAAUGGCGGUGACAAUGGGCAGCGAAGGGGCGACCGGGAGCAAAUCCCAAAAAGCCGUCUCAGUUCGGAUUGCACUCUGCAACUCGAGUGCAUGAAGGUGGAAUCGCUAGUAAUCGCAGAUCAGCAUGCG
This 402-nucleotide ribosomal RNA is filed under the name uncultured bacterium. RNAcentral describes it as "bacterial SSU rRNA". It matches the Rfam family "Bacterial small subunit ribosomal RNA", at positions 958 to 1358 of the family's 1533-position model. The record is from RNAcentral.